UGGGACUGACAAUGAGCAACAAAUGUCUUCCUGUUUAAAACACGGUCUUCCGGCGUCAUUUGUUUGUAACGUGUUGCCGGCGUCGGAAGGCUGGAAUUGCUAGCGGUACAUCGGUCGUUGAGCGUGAAUCGCUUCAGACAAACUCUGGGUGGCAGCCAGUAGCGUUAGCAUUCAUCGCCAGCUGUGCAAGAGUAUGCCGAAAGCCUGUCCCCCUCCUACCUCGGCUCACCUCUUGUGAUGACCGGUCAUUGACUUUUUAAGGCCUUCGAAUUGUGGGCAAGGGGUUCUGACCACUGUUUUCUCCGUGUUUUGUUUGAGUUCUAGUAUCGUAGCCAGUCAUGUUUUUCUUUUAGUUUGGGGUUGUUGAUAUCGUGUCUGUGUGUGGGUGUGUGGGCGUGCGUCUUCGUACGGGCAGGCGCUUUGUCUGUUUUUUUGGUUUGUUUUGGGUUUUCUUAAUUUCUUAUAUAUUUUGCCCCGUUCUUCUCUCUUUGUCCAUCUACGGCCUGCGGCCUACUGAACUUCAUCUAGUCAGCCAAACCUGUGUGGUAGCCUGCUUUGUGUGAGCACCUGUUAGUGUGGGUUGACAAUUGCUGUGUAUCCUCGUGUGAUGAAAUUACUUCCUUAGAUAGAAUGGUGUGUAGUUCGAAGUAACCUUGUGUGACUUAUAGCUUAGUCCAUCACUUCCCAGCUUGAUUCUAUAGAGGUUGCGGUCUGACUGAGAUGUA
Molecule: long non-coding RNA, 725 nt
Organism: Alosa alosa (allis shad)
Lineage: Eukaryota; Metazoa; Chordata; Actinopteri; Clupeiformes; Clupeidae
Exons: 4
Source: RefSeq, a predicted model, not a curated record